AACCUGCUCACUUGUGUGUGUGACCUUCAGAGGCUCCAAAGGCCCCCGGGGUUAAAGAAAGGAUCCAGACUUGGCGAAAUGGCAGAUUCCAGGGCUGGGGCUGGGAUGUUGCAAGAUGGGCUGAAAACAAUGGGAAAAGAAUGACUUGACAGUGAUGACAUCUGGCAGAUGCCACCUUCAUCAUAAGGCCACAAUUCAUACAAGCCAUGGGACCAGUCGAACCCAUUCACCACCCGGUAGGACCCAGCGAGGAGAGCAUGACAUCAUUUUUGUGAUACUUCUGCCAGGAAUGUGUAUCCUGAAUCCAGCCAGAGGAAACACUAGACAGACCCAACGUUCUACAAUUUGCAAUCAUCUAAAGGGCAUGAGACCAGGGAAAGACUGAGAAACUGGUUUUGAAGAAAAUCAAGGAGACUUUGAGAACCAAACACGACACGAGAUUCUAUACUGGAUCCCUUUAGUAUGAAGGACUUUAGUGGGACAAGUGGUGAAACUUGAAGGGUAUUGGGGACUGGAUGGUGGGGAGGGCUCUGUGCUAAUUGCGCAGGUAUCAAUUCUUCUUGCCUCAGCUUAUCAAUCAAUCCUUACCAAUAAUUAGUAAGACUGCAAAAUGAAAUUAAACAGUUUCCUUUACAUUUUCUGCCUACUGAGAGCUGUAAAACAUGAUGAUGAUAAAGCAAAUAGAAAAAUAAUGUUAGUAAAAGAUGGAAAUAUAAAAGCAUAUUUGGAAGAAAUUAUUCAAUGGAGAAUAAGAAAUGAGAGAAAUAUGUUCAGUGGUGGAAUAGUGC
Molecule: long non-coding RNA, 788 nt
Filed under: Equus asinus (donkey)
Lineage: Eukaryota; Metazoa; Chordata; Mammalia; Perissodactyla; Equidae
Description: lncRNA (ENSEASG00005026352.1)
Source: RNAcentral